Neopelma chrysocephalum (saffron-crested tyrant-manakin) is the source of this 237-nucleotide long non-coding RNA. RefSeq lists it as uncharacterized. The record is from RefSeq and is a predicted model, not a curated record. The transcript has 3 exons. Lineage: Eukaryota; Metazoa; Chordata; Aves; Passeriformes; Pipridae.
CAGGGCUCCCUCUACCACCAGACGGCCCCGCCGGGCCCCCCCGGGCCCCCCCCGGGCGAGGGGCUCCUGCUGCAGGAGAACGUCUCGGCCGAGAUCCGGGCGCUGCUCAGCUCCUACUACAGCGACAGCUAUUGACCCCGGGGACGACAUCGCGGCGGUGACCGACAUCCUGGCGCGGCACCGGGGGGGCCCCCGCCCGCCGGGCCCCCCCCCGUGGCUGUCGCUGUUCGAGGGGCC